This is a long non-coding RNA of Arvicanthis niloticus (Nile rat), 915 nucleotides long. RefSeq lists it as uncharacterized. Lineage: Eukaryota; Metazoa; Chordata; Mammalia; Rodentia; Muridae. The record is from RefSeq and is a predicted model, not a curated record.
UGCAAACCAAAGCUUCAAUUGCAGCAAGAGAAGCCCCACAGGGAGUCUGAGAGGAAACAAGCAGGACUCUGACAAAGGCCUCCCAUUUCCCUCUGCCUGCUACCAUACGUGCUGGGAAUCCAUCUGACUGGAAGACGCCGAGAUGGGACUGGGCCAUUUGUUGGAGCUCCAGCCUGAGUGGAGGAGUAGGUGCUUGGUCAAUGUUGGUUGAAUGAAGGCGGUAGAAAGGAUCUCUGAAGGUGUGAUGGGAGAGAUGUAACCAGCAGGGCUCAUGAUACUUCUGGCCCAGCAAGCAUGCAAUGGCACAGGCAGACCCUGUGCCGUCCACCAGGAACACCGAGGUGAAGCACAUACAGUCCCUACACUUGACAAGCUCCCAGUUCUGUGUAGAAGAUAGACAUAGUAGCAUUGUAGUGGUAAGUGUUGGAAAAGUGGGAAGCCAAAGGAUGCUGAGGCCACAGAAGUACCUAUCCAAGGCUGAGGGCCAAGCUAGACUGCUUGGAGACAGUGACGCUGAUACAGAUGUCUGCUGGACAAAGACACAGGACUGUGAGUGUACACAUGCAUGUCUGACACAGCAGGCAGGUCAAAUCCAUGCAAACACGGGAAGGGGCGCUGAGAACACCUUUCUAUAUUCUAAAAGGAGCUUGGCAGCUUGUUAUCCAUCAUGGUGGAACAUGGAGAAUAAGAGACCAGACCUGGUAUGUCAUGGCAAAGAGUGUCUUCACUGUGAUUUCAAAAGUACCCAACAUCUGCGAAUUCUACUUCAAGUUACCACCUCAUGGGUCUAGUCAGCUCAGAACAACUUCCAGUGCACUUUUAAUUACUGUCAGGAUCCUGGAAGGCUCUUGAUUAGUAGGUCCAGGUGGUAACCUUUUCCUCCGGUUCAUUAAUAAAGUGUUUCAGAAGCUGGGA